AUUGUUGACCAGAAAGUCAGUGCUAGGGCUGCAACCAAAUAUGUCCAUAGGAAGAGGACUGAACACUCUUCUUGACCAACAUCAAACAGCUGGGUCAUGGUACCUGCAUUAUCAUUUAUUCCACUUUCGUAAUUAGUAUUAGUCCUGAAAUAUAUUUUGUUUAAAACUAUGGUUGAUAUUUGAUAAUUUCUUACCAAUAUUCAUGGCAGGUGGCAGGGUAUAUUGAACCAUCAGCACAAAGUGGUAGAGAGGAUCUGAUGGAAGGAACCCAAGACUUCCAGCUGCUUUAACAAGCCAAAUACCAAUGGC
This 309-nucleotide long non-coding RNA is filed under the name Ricinus communis (castor bean). RNAcentral's name for it is "long non-coding RNA (RCOM_LNC001431)". Lineage: Eukaryota; Viridiplantae; Streptophyta; Magnoliopsida; Malpighiales; Euphorbiaceae. The record is from RNAcentral.